This 6178-nucleotide long non-coding RNA is filed under the name Taeniopygia guttata (zebra finch). RNAcentral's name for it is "lncRNA (ENSTGUG00000021765.1)". Lineage: Eukaryota; Metazoa; Chordata; Aves; Passeriformes; Estrildidae. The record is from RNAcentral.
UGUGUGCCAGCCACGGAGACCCCGUCUCUUCUAUCACUUGCUGUCAGCAUUCAGAAGAUUGAAAUGAAGGGCAGCAGAGAUUUGGGAAAUAAUCCCCUUCUCCACAGAAGCUGUUCUGAUGCUUCCCCGUGCCAUAACAAAUCAGUGAGGAUUAAAAACCUCUGUCACUUGUGUAAAACGUCCUGCCAGGAUUGGAUUCACCCCUCCAGCUUAGCUGGGACAGAGGGAUGAGCCUGAUGGACACCCCCUCAGGCAGGGACAUCCCUGGAGCCACCCAGCCCUUCCCACGGAGCUGGAGCUGUCUGCAGGUGGAGCUCAGGGUGUUCUGGUUCCUGAGUGGCACAAAAAGCUUUCUUCUGCCACGGGGAGCAGCUGCACCGAGGAAAAAAUGUGGGUGAGUGAGGAGAUGGGAGAUCAGGGAAAGGUUCUUCCCCCAGAGGGUGGAAUCAGCACUGGAACAGCUCCCCAGAAAUGGGCACGGCCCGAGGCUGCCAGAGCUCCAGGAGGGAUUGGACAGCGCUGCCAGGGAUGCCCAGGGUGGGAUUUUUGGGACAUCUGAGCAGGGACAGGGUUGGGAUGAUCCCUGGGGGUCCCUCCAGCUCAGGACAUUCUGGGACUCUGUGAUUGCCUGGCUCAGGGAAGGAAAUCCAAGUGGAUUUCCAAAGCACCCGUUGCUGUUGGUUCUGGGGUUGUACAAGUGGUUCCAUCAGCUCUGAAUUGUCCUUGUUCUGUUCCUGUGGAGUUCAUCCUUUCCUGGCAGGGUGGGCAGGCCCUGGAUCCCUGGCAGUGCCCAAGGCCAGGUUGGACACCCUGGGACAGUGGGAGGUGUCCCUGCCAUGGCAGGGGUGGCCCUGGGUGAGAUUUGAGGUCCCUUCUGGGGAAUUCAUCCAGGAUGGCCCCUGUUUGUCAGGGCAGGAGGGAGCAGGUGAAUUCCCAGUGUCACCGUAUUGGGAAUUCUCCCUUUGCUCCUCCCAGACAAAAUGACCUCGGAGCUCAGCAAAGCCUCAGAGCUGCCACUGAGGCCAGGACCCGUCAGGUGAGGCGGUUUUAGCUUCAUACAUGGAUUAAAUCUGAUGGAAUAUUCAUUUUUGCCACGGUCCUCACAUUCCUGACUCCAUCCUGAGGGCUGGAACCCAGGACUGGACCAGCUGCAUUCCAGACUCUUCUCCUGAAGGUGAGGAGCAGAGCACCCCUUUCAGCCCCACGAUUUCCAGGGUGGGAGGUGCUGGGGAGGUUCCUGAUGGAUUCCUGGGAAGGACAAGAUGAGAACCCUGAAACACCUGGCGAGGAAGAGCCCGGCAGCAAUCCUGGGGAAGAAGGAGCCCGUAGAGCUGGGAAUGAUUGGCAGCAGAUGGAUCAACAAAGGAGCUCGGAAUCACGAUGCACGGGGGCUUCUGCCUCUGCUGACUGUGCUUUGCUGUCAAUCACAGGCUCUUCCUCAGGCUGGGAAGAGAUUCCGGGUGUUCUCUCCAUGGAAUCUGGCUGUCCUCAGCAGCUUUUGGAACCUGAGGAUCGCGUUGCCUUGGUUUGAUCCCGCACUUGAAAGGCAGCCUGUGAUAUCCUAAAGUUCUGAAUCGGCAGAAAUUAAUGAGAGUGGGAAAGAGAAAUGGGAGCAUUUCCAUUUCACAACCCCUCUCUGCAUGUUACAAACAUUUCAUUAAACUGGGUGAGGUAAAAUUCGCAUUAUAAUUAGAGCUGGAUGAGAGGAAACUCGGAAAGAUCUUUCCUUGAGCUUCCCCAAAUUAACCCCAGGGCAGGGUUUGGAGUUGGAUGGGCCCUAAGGCCCCUUUCACCCCAAGCCCUUCUAUAACUCCAUAAAAGCAGAAUAAUUUAUACUUUUCUUUUGGAUUUUAGGAGCUUCUUAAGAAAAUUACCUGCACUGCUGGAGGAGAUACUUUCUGGUGCUGUCUGAGAUGACUUUACUUAAAUAAGAUCCAAAACCUUUAAUAGAGGAUAACUCCCGGUAAACUCUGCCUUCCUUCUCUUGGCAUUCCUCUGCCAGGCAAAUAUAUUGGGAUAAAAAGAAGAAAGGAGUUCUGUGUUACUACUUGUUACAAUAGAACUGUCCUGUUCUACUUUUUCACCCUGAGUUAACUCAACUCCCACACUACUCAAACCCUUGUGGCUGUAAUUCCUCACGCAGAGUUGGCAGCUUUUUCCCAGGCUAAAAUCAAAGCCACAGGUGUUUUUGACUUUGUGCCAAGGUCUGUGAGCCCCUGCCAGGGUCUGGAGCAGCCAGGGCAGCCAGAGGGAUGUGCUGGGCUCCGACAGCUGCUGAUGGGCCUUGGGCUUUCAAAGACACCCAAGCAGUUGUUGGCUGCUCUAAAGUUGUUCAUUGCAUGAGUGCAUCAGCCUCCAAGGCAAAGAGUUCAAGGUGUGAAAAAUCCAUUAAAAGCUUUCUGGCAGAGUCCCAGGCAGGAGCUGCAGGGCUGCAAGGCUGCAAUGAUGCAGGGCUGCAAGGCUGCAAGGCUGCAGGGCUGCUCUCUGGUACAGAGUCCCCAGUUCUGUGCAGGAGCAGCAGCAGGGACCAGCCUGCAGCAGCAGCAAGGGGAACCACAGCCUUUUCUUCUUCUUUCCUCUUUUCUUCUUCUUCGUGUUCUUCCUUCCUGCCUUGCACCCCAAUACAGGGUGUUUUUAUUCAUAAAUCACCCAAUCAGCUAAAAACACCAUUCUGAAACACUCCUUCUAAACCAAACUAAACUUCAUUCUAAUGUGCCAAAGUAGUAAGAAAGUGAUGUCAGUUCCUACCUAAAAACUACAUAUAAAUAUAAUCUAUUUACACAAAUUUACUAUGUGUAUGCUAUACUAUCUGUUUUCUCACUCAAAAUCUACCUUUAUAAGUCCAUCUAUUCACAUGAGUGGCUCUAUCUAUUUAUGUACAUGUUCCACCUGUUCUGGAGGCACAAGCAAAGUUCUGCUCUGUUUCUGUUAUGCCUGGGACUAAGUUACUGAACUUUAAACUACACCUUAGGGCCUUUACUAUCUAACACAGCUUCUUAAGGCACUUAAAAUGUAUUUCUACUUACUUAAAACUAUAACUUACACUUAAAACUUAAACCUACACUUCUACUUUAUAUCUAUGUGGCUUAAAAUAUCUUAAUUUCUCUAAAGGCUUUUAUUCAAGCCCACAUUCAUCUUUCUCUGUUGCUUGCAUUCCAACAGCUGCUGAACAAGGAGAGGUCCUGUGUUCCUGUAACACCAGGAAUUUCACUGGAGAGAGAAAAUGGCUCUGCUGAAGUGACCAGAGAUCACAGAGCUGAUGGCAUCAGCAGCAUCAGGGAGUAAUUGUUUUGUUAAUAUUUGCCUUUAGAAGGUGGUGUAAGAGUGGAAUUUCACUGAACACAGAGUAGCUGGGGUGGGAAGGUGUGCAAAUUCACUUGUGGGGAAUUUUGGAGGGAAUUAGAGACAGGACCUGUGAGCUGUUUUGAUGAUGUGGUUUAUUUUCUUAUCUUCUGCACAGGCAGGAAGGGUGAGUUGGGCUCACAUCUUCACUGCACGGAUCAGAAGGUCACAAGACCCUCAGUUACAAGACCUUUUAAGGAGUUAUUGACCAAUAAGGCACUGCCAACAAGGAUAUUUAUGUUUUUCACCCAAUCCUUAAAUAUUUCAUCAUAUGGAGCCAUGCUACAUGUCAGCUUUCUUAGGCAAUCAUGUUAUGGCACACAAACCCACAGUGCUGCUGCAUCCUAAACUCCUUGUUUACCUCUGGAACUGCUUUUAUUUCUAUAUCUUAAACUCUAAAACUCUAAACUUACCUUAACUCAAUGUGUCUCUGCUUUAAACAGCAAAUCCACAUUCUCACUGCUGGCACCUCAUUUUGGGAGCCUUUCCCAAGGUUUCAGAUCCAACUCUGGGUUUAAUUCUGAGCUUUGGCUCACAGGCCCAAAGCUCUGAGAGUUCCCUGAAUUUCAGAGUCCAGCAGGAAGGAGCUUGGAGCCCAUCAGGUGGAGGAGCUGCUGGAGGAGCUGCCCUGACUCACUCCAGGCAGGCUCUGGGUCUCUGCCUGAACUCUGUGCCCCAUCACCCCAGGGCAAUCCCUGUUAUUGCAGCCCACCAUAAUGACAGCAUUCAUAAUUGAGCUAAUUUAGCCAGCACUCCUCAUUAUUGCUCUCUGUCUCUCUGAAGGAUAUUGCCUUAGCUUUCAUUAGUGCUGGGGAGCACAGGGGGGAGCUGCCCUCAGGUGGGUUUGGGGGAGUGAAGAUGUGCAGAUCGUGGAACAUUUACUUUGUGUGAUUGGUUUUCUGGUUUGUUCUAACAGAGAGCAAUAAAACCGAUCUGUGCUGGCACAGCCUGGGAAACGUGGAGUUUAUUGGGGUUUCUCUGACCAGGAUGUGUACAUCCUUGCAGGUGCUGCUGCAGGAAUCCUGUGUCAGAGCAAUGCCCUGGACUCAGCUUCCUGAUUUCUCACAUCAAACGGGUCAGGGGUGCUCCUCUCUAACCAGAACUCAAAUGCUUUUUCUUCAACUCCAAUCUCAAAAGACUGAAGGUACCUUCUGUGACAUCCUUGGAAUUGCAAGGUCCUCCUGGCACCCAGCAGCUUCCUUGGCCUGCUGGGCUUGGGGUGGAGGAGUCUCAAGGGUUGUGGAAUAUCCUAAAACCUGCACAAGGCUCUCCUUCCUCUGGUGGUUUGUCCUUUGUCCAGGAAUUUCUGGGAGGGGAACAGGAGCUCAGCUGUUGUGCUCAGCAUCCUUACCUGCUUUUUGGUGUCCAGAAAUGUUUCCAAACCCUGAGUAACUUUUCAACUGCUCUUCAGCAGCUUCAGAUCAUUUAAUUCAAUUCCCCAAAAGCAUUUGAUAGCCCAGACUAUUGGUGCUGAUGGAUGAAAGUGUGGGAUUCGAGUGUUUGAGCACCACAGCUGCUCCUGCAGCAGGCCCUGACGUUCACACCAUUCCAAACACCAACAGAGCCACAAAAUUUAUUUCCAUAAUCCAAAUGGCAGUGAAAUUCCCCUCUCCAGCACCAAUUUGUCUAUUUUAUUAGGGGAUAUCUGUGUGGGAAGUUCAUUUGCUCUCCAUUUCUGUGCCAUCCCUCCUUGAGGCAGCACCUCUGCCCUGCCCAGUUCCUCCUGGCAUUUUUGGCUGCACUUCCCUUCUGCAGGAAAUUCCCUGAUGUGGAUGUUUGUUCCACCAGCAGUGGCUGCUUUGCACUCCUGAGAGCUCUGGGAAUGCUCAUGAAAUCCCACUGGAGGCCAGAGCAGCCUCCAGAGCUGGUGCUGAGGGUGGGGGGUCUCUGGGCAGAGCUGCAUCCACAGGUUUGGGCUCCUCUGCCUUCCAUGGGCUUUCAAAAGCCUCGGAAAUAAAUCUCUGCUCUGUGUUUUGGGAGAGGGGAAGGGUUCCCUCCUCCCUGCUGCUUUCUUGGUGCCCCUUGGUGUCGUGGCAUGGGAGCCUCUCCAUGAUGGAGAUUGGCCCCAUGGCUCCAGCUGGGCACAAAUCAUUGGGAAAUUGGGAAUUCCUGGCUGGGAGGGGUUGGGAUGGAAUUGCCAGAGCAGCUGGGGCUGCCCCUGGAUCCCUGGCAGUGCCCAAGGCCAGGCUGGACACUGGGUUUGGAGCAGCCUGGGACAGUGGAGGUGUCCCUGCCUUGACAGGGGUAGCACUGGGUGGGAUUUAAGGUGCUUCCAACCCAAACCAUUCUGGGAUUCUGGGAUUUUUGGAUACAGCUUUAGCUCUGCCAGGUUUUUAAGGCUCUGUGGCCAUCAGGUUCCUUUGGUUGAUGAGGAGCAGGUGGACUCCAAAGAGUAAAUCCAUGAAUCUCUGCUGCUGGAAGGAAAUACUUUAAAGAGAGGGGAAUAACCAGUAUGGGGGAAAUCAACCUCCUCUGAUCCUGAAAAUGCCUCUCUUGUUUUCCUUUGAGCUCCACAAAGCCAGUGGAACUGUCACUGCGGCACUUACUACUCUUUCUUUUUGAUCUGUGACAUGAAUUAAUUCUGACACAUGUGGCUUUGGAAUUUUGCUUUCCCAGUCCCAGUACAUGCAAACAAUGAGUUGUGGCUUCUGCCUGUGAUUUCAAUGACUGAUUAAAAAAAAAUCCUUGCAAAGGAUUGCCUGGGAAGAUGCAGUCCUGACUUCAGAGACAUCAAAUAGGAAACAUUGUUCUCUUUAGUGGAGGAACACUUUAUUCUGACCCUUGUGGCUUUGUCACUGUUUUAGGGCUUUUUAAUUGAAAAAUAAAUACAUUCUGU